This 477-nucleotide ribosomal RNA is filed under the name uncultured bacterium. RNAcentral describes it as "partial 16S ribosomal RNA". It matches the Rfam family "Bacterial small subunit ribosomal RNA", at positions 30 to 523 of the family's 1533-position model. The record is from RNAcentral.
AUUGAACGCUGGCGGCAUGCUUUACACAUGCAAGUCGAACGGCAGCACGGGUGCUUGCACCUGGUGGCGAGUGGCGAACGGGUGAGUAAUACAUCGGAACGUACCUGAUAGUGGGGGAUAACGCUUCGAAAGGAGUGCUAAUACCGCAUACGCCCUUCGGGGGAAAGAUUUAUUGCUGCAAGAUGAGCCUGCGUCAGAUUAGCUAGUUGGUGGGGUAAAGGCCUACCAAGGCGAAGAUCUGUAGCUGUUCUGAGAGGAAGAUCAGCCACACUGGGACUGAGACACGGCCCAGACUCCUACGGGAGGCAGCAGUGGGGGAUAUUGGACAAUGGGGGCAACCCUGAUCCAGCAAUGCCACGUGUGUGAAGAAGGCCUGCGGGUUGUAAAGCACUUUCAGAAGGGAAGAAGGACACGCGAGUGUUUUGACAUUACUUUCAGAAGAAGCACCGGCUAACUCUGUGCCAGCAGCCGCAGUAA